CACACCGCCCGUCACACCAUGGGAGUUGGUUUUACCCGAAGCCGGUCAUGCUAACCUGCAAAGGAGGCAGCCGACCACGGUAAGGUCAGCGACUGGGGUG
Molecule: ribosomal RNA, 100 nt
Filed under: uncultured bacterium
Lineage: Bacteria
Description: partial 16S ribosomal RNA
Rfam family: Bacterial small subunit ribosomal RNA
Source: RNAcentral